This is a long non-coding RNA of Coregonus clupeaformis (lake whitefish), 694 nucleotides long. RefSeq lists it as uncharacterized. The record is from RefSeq and is a predicted model, not a curated record. Lineage: Eukaryota; Metazoa; Chordata; Actinopteri; Salmoniformes; Salmonidae. The transcript is spliced from 3 exons.
GCUGCCAAUGUUUUGGGGGUUCCUGAUCCCUGUGGCGUUCAUGCUUAUCUUCAACAUGGUGGUGUUGGUAUAUUUUGUAGUUACCACAUCCAAGACCAACCCACAUAUAACCAGUACAAGACACACAUCGAUGAAGAAGAAAUUCCUCAGUAGCUUUUCUCUGGCUGUGGUGCUCGGUCUCUCCUGGAUCCUGGGCUAUCUGUUGCUCAUUACACAGAACCAGACCAUGUACACCAUACUCAACAUCUCCUUCUGUGUACUCACCACCACUCAGGGCUUGCAGGUUUUCAUUCUGUUCACAGCAAGAACAGCAAUUGUCAAGAAAACGAUGUCAAGUGCUUUGAAAUCUGUCUCAAGCGCUGGGAUCCCUCUUCACACCAAGAAGUUCAGUCUAUGGCGAGGCGAGCAAAGUGAAAAAGUAGAAUCAUACACACAGCUGGACACUGAUCUGUCAUUUCCACCUUGUUCCUCACAGACAUCUAACUGAUGGGCUGCAAGUUCAACCUCUGUUGGAAAAUAUCUCAUAUACCGCCACUAUUUCCUAUAAUAUACAGAAUAAUACACACCAUUUUGUAUCAAUGUAUUUUUACUGUAAAUUCCCUCAGAAGUUGUGUUGUCCAAGGAUUUUUGGGCUAUGCACAUACUGUAUAUACAUACUGUAUGUGUUUUUUGAAAUAUAACUGUUUUGAAUAAA